This 2917-nucleotide ribosomal RNA is filed under the name Anaerolineales bacterium UBA5797. RNAcentral's name for it is "bacterial LSU rRNA". It matches the Rfam family "Bacterial large subunit ribosomal RNA", at positions 1 to 2236 of the family's 2925-position model. The record is from RNAcentral. Lineage: Bacteria; Bacillati; Chloroflexota; Anaerolineae; Anaerolineales.
AGAAGCUACUAAGGGCUUUCGGUGAAUGCCUUGGCGCCAAGUGCCGAUGAAGGACGUGGGACACUGCGAUAAGCCUCGGGGAGCCGUGUACAGGCUUUGAUCCGGGGAUUUCCGAAUGAGGAAACUCGUUGCGGCGAACCCGCAACAUCCUCCUGCUGAACACAUAGGCUGGAGGAGGGGCACCCAGGGAACUGAAACAUCUAAGUACCUGGAGGAACAGAAAAUAUUCUCCUAGUAGUGGCGAGCGAACGGGGAACAGCCCAAACCGUCCUUGCUUGCAAGGGCGGGGUUGUAGGGUCUGGCAUAUGGAAGUUACAAAACGAUCAGUUAGCGGAAAGGUGUGGGAAAGCCUGCCAUAGAGGGUGACAGCCCCGUAUGCGAAAAUUGAUCGUCUUCCGCCAGAUACCUGAGUACUGCCGGGCACGCUAAUCCGGCAGGAAUCUGGGGAGUCCACUCUCCAAGGCUAAAUACAUUUGGCGACCGAUAGUGAACAAGUACCGUGAGGGAAAGGUGAAAAGUCCCCCUGUUAGGGGAGUGAAAUAGAACCUGAAACCGAGAGCCUACAAACAGUUGGAGGGCUAACAGUGGGUUGAGCGCUGUAGAAAUACAGAUGUUCCCCGCUAUGCCUGACAGCGUGCCUCUUGGAGAAUGAGCCUGCGAGUUAAUCUCAGUGGCAAGGUUAAGGGAGUAACACCCGUAGCCGUAGCGAAAGCGAGUCUGAACAGGGCGUAUAGUCGCUGGGAUUAGACCCGAAACCGGGUGAGCUACCCAUGGGCAGGGUGAAGCGAGUCUAAUCACUCGUGGAGGCCCGAACUUACUAACGUUGCAAAGUUAGAAGAUGACCUGUGGGUAGAGGUGAUAUGCCAAACGAACUCGGAGAUAGCUGGUUCUCCCCGAAAUAGCUUUAGGGCUAGCGUCAUGCGUUUAGUACUGGAGGUACAGCACUGAAUGGGCUAAGGGGCUUACCGCUUACUGAACCCAAUCAAACUCGGAAUGCCAGUACUCCAUAGCAUGGCAGUCGGACUACGGGAGAUGAGUUUCGUGGUCGAAAGGGAAACAGCCCAGAUCAUCAGCUAAGGUCCCAAAAUCUACACUAAGUGGGAAACGAGGUGAGGUUACUUGAACAACCAGGAGGUUGGCUUAGAAGCAGCCACCCUUUAAAAAGUGCGUAACAGCUUACUGGUCUAGUGACCUUGCGCGGAAAACUUAACGGGGCUAAGUGUAGUACCGAAGCUAUGAGUCUCAGCGCAAGCUGGGGCAGUAGGGGAGCGUUCCAUCAGCGGUGAAGGUCGAUCGAUAAGGGCGACUGGAGCGGAUGGAAGUGAGAAUGCAGGCAUGAGUAGCGUAUAAACACGUGAGAACCGUGUUCGCCGUAAAUCUAAGGUUUCCGACGCCAGGUCAUUCCGCGUCGGGUUAGUCGGGUCCUUAGCCGAGGCCGAAAGGCGUAGGUGAUGGACAUCCGGUCAACAUUCCGGAACCGCUCAGAAUGAGUGAUGGGGGGACGCAGCGAGGUAGGCCAGCCACCGAUUGGUUGUGGUGGUGCGAUCCGUCUAGGUGUUGAGGCUGGUAGGUAAAUCCGCCAGCUGAGCUGAGGCGAGAGCGAGCCGUAAGGCAUAAGUGGUUGAGCCUUGCUGCCAAGAAAAGCCUCUAAACGUUGAUUUCUGAGUGCCCGUACCGCAAUCCGACACUGGUAGAUGGGUAGAGUAUACCAAGGCGAACGGGAGAACCCUCGUUAAGGAACUAGGCAACAUGACCCCGUAACUUCGGGAGAAGGGGUACCUUCUAGCGUUCGGGUAACCAAAGCGCUGGAGGGUCGCAGUGAAAUGGCUCUGGCGACUGUUUAACAAAAACACAGGUCUCUGCUAAGCCGUAAGGCGAUGUAUAGGGGCUGACGCGUGCCCAGUGCCGGAAGGUUAAGGGGAGAGGUUAGCGCAAGCGAAGCUUUGAACCGAAGCCCCGGUGAACGGCGGCCGUAACUAUAACGGUCCUAAGGUUAACAUUUGCUAGCCUUAGUAAAAUCGAACUAUAUGCGGGAAAAUCCUCAACAGCCAUGCGGUACUCGUCGUAAUCGAAUACGGCAGUAAAAAUCCGCUGGACACGGGGACAAUCCGCAGGGAAGGCUUCCAUGAUGGAUGAUGAUAUAUUGGAAGAACCCUCAGAGACUUCACGUUCGAUCUCGAAUUCCUCGAGGUUGGAAGCGCAAUGGGUUGUAGGGUUUGUAGAUGGAGAAGGAUGCUUUUAUGUCGGUAUCAAUUCCCAUCCUGAGAUGAAGGCAGGGUUUCAGGUUUUACCUGAAUUCACGGUUGUUCAACAUAAGCAAGAUGUACAACUACUUUAUGCCCUGAAACGAUUUUUUGGGUGUGGCGUUGUCCGGCAAAAUCAUGAUGACCGCAUGGCUUAUCGUGUAAGAGGUGUGGAACACCUCUGGGAGCGGAUCAUUCCGUUCUUCGAGAAGCAUCCUUUGAAGACCAAAAAGCGUCUUGAUUUUUUGAAAUUCAGGAAAACCCUGAUGAUGAUGCAGAAAGGUGAACAUCUGACACCCGCCGGGAUCGAAAAGAUCCGCCAAAUCGCUUCUGAAAUGAAUCGAGGACGAGAAAGAUAAAGUCCGGCUUCUCUGGAAACAGAGUAAGAUGAACCGAGCGAAAUUCCUUGUCGGGUAAGUUCCGACCCGCACGAACCGCGUAACGAUCAGAGCACUGUCUCAACGAGGGACCCGGUGAAGUUGAAUUGGCUGUGAAGAUGCGGCCUACCCGCAGCAGGACAAAAAGACCCCGUGGAGCUUUACUGCAACUUGGCAUUGUGUUUGGGUAUGAUCUGUGUAGCAUAGGUGGGAGGCUUUGAAGCUGGGGCGUUAGCCUCGGUGGAGCCGCCAGUGAAAUACCACCCUGAUUAUGCUUAGACCCUAACCCCGCACCGU